CGCGGCCUAUCAGCUUGUUGGUGGGGUAAUGGCCUACCAAGGCGACGACGGGUAGCCGGCCUGAGAGGGUGACCGGCCACACUGGGACUGAGACACGGCCCAGACUCCUACGGGAGGCAGCAGUGGGGAAUAUUGCACAAUGGGCGCAAGCCUGAUGCAGCGACGCCGCGUGAGGGAUGACGGCCUUCGGGUUGUAAACCUCUUUCAGUAGGGAAGAAGCCGUGAGGUGACGGUACCUGCAGAAGAAGCGCCGGCUAACUACGUGCCAGCAGCCGCGGUAAUACGUAGGGCGCAAGCGUUAUCCGGAAUUAUUGGGCGUAAAGAGCUCGUAGGCGGUUUGUCGCGUCUGCUGCGAAAGACCGGGGCUCAACUCCGGUUCUGCAGUGGGUACGGGCAGACUAGAGUGCAGUAGGGGAGACUGGAAUUCCUGGUGUAGCGGUGAAAUGCGCAGAUAUCAGGAGGAACACCGAUGGCGAAGGCAGGUCUCUGGGCUGUAACUGACGCUGAGGAGCGAAAGCAUGGGGAGCGAACAGGAUUAGAUACCCUGGUAGUCCAUGCCGUAAACGUUGGGCACUAGGUGUGGGGGACAUUCCACGUUUUCCGCGCCGUAGCUAACGCAUUAAGUGCCCCGCCUGGGGAGUACGG
This 645-nucleotide ribosomal RNA is filed under the name uncultured bacterium. Its description in RNAcentral is "bacterial SSU rRNA". It matches the Rfam family "Bacterial small subunit ribosomal RNA", at positions 232 to 885 of the family's 1533-position model. The record is from RNAcentral.